This 398-nucleotide ribosomal RNA is filed under the name uncultured bacterium. RNAcentral describes it as "bacterial SSU rRNA". It matches the Rfam family "Bacterial small subunit ribosomal RNA", at positions 30 to 430 of the family's 1533-position model. The record is from RNAcentral.
AUUGAACGCUGGCGGCAUGCCUUACACAUGCAAGUCGAACGGUAACGGGCCUUCGGGUGCCGACGAGUGGCGAACGGGUGAGUAAUGUAUCGGAACGUACCUUUCAGUGGGGGAUAACGUAGCGAAAGUUACGCUAAUACCGCAUAUUCUGUGAGCAGGAAAGCGGGGGAUCGCAAGACCUUGCGCUGAUUGAGCGGCCGAUAUCAGAUUAGCUAGUUGGUGAGGUAAAGGCUCACCAAGGCGACGAUCUGUAGCGGGUCUGAGAGGAUGAUCCGCCACACUGGAACUGAGACACGGUCCAGACUCCUACGGGAGGCAGCAGUGGGGAAUUUUGGACAAUGGGCGCAAGCCUGAUCCAGCAAUGCCGCGUGCGGGAAGAAGGCCUCGGUUGUAACGAC